This is a non-coding RNA of Hyaena hyaena (striped hyena), 85 nucleotides long. NCBI's taxonomy places the organism in Eukaryota, Metazoa, Chordata, Mammalia, Carnivora, Hyaenidae. The record is from the annotation of a RefSeq genome assembly.
GCCUGGCUGGCUCAGUUGGUUAAGUGUCUGACUUCUGCUCAGGUCAUGAUCUCAUCAUUUGUGGGUUCGAGCCCCACGUCAGGCU